CGGGAAGUAGCUCAGCUUGGUAGAGCACCACGUUCGGGACGUGGGGGUCGCAAGUUCAAAUCUUGUUUUCCCGA
RNAcentral lists this transfer RNA (74 nucleotides) under Pediococcus pentosaceus. RNAcentral describes it as "tRNA-Pro". It matches the Rfam family "tRNA". Rfam says of the family: Transfer RNA (tRNA) molecules are approximately 80 nucleotides in length. Their secondary structure includes four short double-helical elements and three loops (D, anti-codon, and T loops). Lineage: Bacteria; Bacillati; Bacillota; Bacilli; Lactobacillales; Lactobacillaceae. The record is from RNAcentral. RNAcentral also lists the same sequence under 5 other names.